RNAcentral lists this ribosomal RNA (253 nucleotides) under uncultured prokaryote. Its description in RNAcentral is "partial 16S ribosomal RNA". It matches the Rfam family "Bacterial small subunit ribosomal RNA", at positions 525 to 777 of the family's 1533-position model. The record is from RNAcentral.
GCGUAGGGCGCAAGCGUUGUCCGGAAUUAUUGGGCGUAAAGAGCUCGUAGGCGGUUUGUCGCGUCGGAUGUGAAAGCCCGGGGCUUAACCCCGGGUCUGCAUUCGAUACGGGCAGACUGGAGUGUGGUAGGGGAGAUCGGAAUUCCUGGUGUAGCGGUGAAAUGCGCAGAUAUCAGGAGGAACACCGGUGGCGAAGGCGGAUCUCUGGGCCAUUACUGACGCUGAGGAGCGAAAGCGUGGGGAGCGAACAGGA